CCUACGGGUGGCAGCAGUGGGGAAUAUUGCGCAAUGGGCGAAAGCCUGACGCAGCGACGCCGCGUGAGGGAUGAAGGUCUUCGGAUCGUAAACCUCUGUCAGCAGGGAAGAACGGUCACUGUGCUAAUCAGCAGUGAAUUGCCGGUACCUGCAAAGGAAGCACCGGCUAACUCCGUGCCGGCAGCCGCGGUAAUACGGAGGGUGAGAGCGUUAAUCGGAAUUACUGGGCGUAAAGCGCUCGUAGGUGGUAUGUCAAGUCAAGGGUGAAAUCCUCGGGCUCAACGUGGGAACUGACUUUGAAACCGGCAAACUAGAGUGUGUGAGAGGAUAGUGGAAUUCCAGGUGUAGGAGUGAAAUCCGUAGAUAUCUGGAGGAACAUCAGUGGCGAAGGCGACUAUCUGGCACAUAACUGACGCUGAGGAGCGAAAGCGUGGGUAGCAAACAGGAUUAGAUACCCUUGUAGUC
Molecule: ribosomal RNA, 465 nt
Filed under: uncultured bacterium
Lineage: Bacteria
Description: partial 16S ribosomal RNA
Rfam family: Bacterial small subunit ribosomal RNA
Source: RNAcentral